GAACCCCGCGAAAGAACAAGUGCAUUAUGCGACGUUGGGCGAGAGGCGUCUCGCCGGUACCCGUACUACAUACCCUUCGGGGUCGGUCGGGUUCCGAAUCAAAGCGUACACCCCAUUUUCAACCCCACUAAACUCUGAAUCUGAACUCAAAAGGGAGGCUGGCCCUACCCGGCCGCCCU
This 179-nucleotide ribosomal RNA is filed under the name Desmarestia firma. Its description in RNAcentral is "nuclear rRNA". Lineage: Eukaryota; Phaeophyceae; Desmarestiales; Desmarestiaceae. The record is from RNAcentral.